CAUCAAUGUCUUUUUCUUCUUUUAGGCAUCAUCAGACUGCAUUUGAAUUACCUCUGAAAUAACAGUAGAGGUUAAAUUGCCAUUUUCAGCUGACUCAUCACGUUCAAAGCUGUGAUUCUGCUGAUGAAACCUUUGUAUUUAAGUGAAUGUAUCAUUAGAAGCAGAAACUACUGUAGCCUCAAACUUCCUCAUUUGAAGCAGACCUGAAGCAGAAAGAUAUGCAUUGACUGAACUGUUCUUGAAACAUUACCACUGCACUGGUGAAGAGAUGAAACAACACAGUGAAAACAAAACCCCUUCCCCCGGAAUUUUGCAUUUCUCCAGUGAGAGCUUCUGGCAG
Molecule: long non-coding RNA, 340 nt
Filed under: Gallus gallus (chicken)
Lineage: Eukaryota; Metazoa; Chordata; Aves; Galliformes; Phasianidae
Source: RNAcentral